GGGGUGAUGAUGUAGCUGACCUAUCAUGGAGGAGCAGGGUGAUGAUGUAGCUGACCUAUCAUGGAGGAGCAGGUUGAUGAUGUAGCUGACCUAUCAUGGUGGAGCAGGCUGAUGAAGCUGACCUAUCAUGGAGGAGCAGGAUGAUGAUGUAGCUGACCUGUCAUGGAGGAGCAGGAUGAUGAUGUAGCUGACCAAUAAAGGAGGAGCAGGGUGAUGAUGUAGCUGACCUAUCAGGGCGGAGCAGGGGUCAUGAUGUAGCUGACCUAUCAUGGAGGAGCAGGGGUGAUGAUGUAGCUGACCUAUCAGGAAAGAGCAGGAGUGAUGAUGUAGCUGACCAAUCAUGGAGUAGCAGGAAGAUGAUGUAGCUGACCUAUCAUGGAUGAGCAGGAAAAUGAUGUAGCUGACCUGUCAUGGAGGAGCAGGAUGAUGUUGUAGCUAAUCUAUCAUGGAGUAGCAGGAUGAUGAUGUAGCUGACCUAUAAAGGAGGAGCAGGGUGAUGUUGUAGCUGACCUAUCAGGGAGGAGCAGGAGUCAUGAUGUAGCUGACCUAUCAUGGAGGAGCAGGGUGAUGAUGUAGCUGACCUAUCAUGGAGGAGCAGGGUGAUGAUGUAGCUGACCUAUCAUGGAGGAGCAGGAUGAUGAUGUAGCUGACCUAUCAUGGAGGAGCAGGGUGAUGAUGUAGCUGACCUAUCAUGGAGGAGCAGGAUGAUGAUGUAGCUGACCUAUCAUGGAGGAGCAGGAUAAUGAUGUAGCUGACCUAUCAUGGAGGAGCAGGGGUGAUGAUGUAGCUGACCUAUCAUGGAGGAGCAGGGGUGAUGAUGUAGCUGACCUAUCAUGGAGGAGCAGGGGUGAUGAUGUAGCUGACCUAUCAUGAGGAGCAGGAUGAUGUAGCUGACCUUUCAUGGAGGAGCAGGAGUGAUGAUGUAGCUGAUCUAUCAUGGAGGAGCAGGAUGAUGAUGUAGCUGACCUAUCAUGGAGGAGCAGGGGUGAUUAUGUAGCUGACCUAUCAUGGAGGAGCAGGGUGAUGAUGUAGCUGACCUAUUAUGGAGGAGCAGGGUGAUGAUGUCGCUGACCUAUCAUGGAGGAGCAAGGUGAUGAUGUAGCUGACCUAUCAGGGAGGAGCAGGAGUCAUGAUGUAGCUGACCUAUCAUGGAGGAGCAGGGGUGAUGAUGUAGCUGACCUAUCAGGGAAGAGCAGGAGUGAUGAUGUAGCUGACCAAUCAUGGAGGAGCAGGAUGAUGAUGUAGCUGACCUAUCAUGGAUGAGCAGGAUGAUGAUGUAGCUGACCUAUCAUGGAGGAGCUGAAUGAUGUAGCUGACCUAUCAUGGAGGAGAGGGGUGAUGAUGUAGCUGACCUAUCAUGGAGGAGCAGGAUAAUGAUGAAGCUGACCUGUCAUGGAGGAGCAGGGGUGAUGAUGUAGCUGACCUAUCAUGGAGGAGCAGGGGAGAUGAUGUAGCUGACCUAUCAUGGAGGAGCAGGAGUGAUGAUGUAGCUGACCUAUCGUGGAGGAGCAGGAUGAUGAUGUAGCUGACCUAUCAUGGAGGAGCAGGGGUGAAAAUGUAGCUGACCUAUCAUGGAGGAGCAGGGGUGGUGAUGUAGCUGACCUAUCAUGUAGGACCAGGAUGAUGUAGCUGACCUUUCAUGGAGGAGCAGGAUGAUGUAGCUGACCUAUCAUGGUGGAGCAGGGUGAUGAUGUAGCUGACCUAUCAUGGAGGAGCAGGAUGAUGAUGUAGCUGACCUAUCAUGGAGGAGCAGGGGUGAUGAUGUAGCUGACCUAUCAUGGAAGAGCAGGGUGAUGAUGUAGCUGACCUAUCAUGGAGGAGCAGGCUGAUGAUGUAGCUGACCUAUCAUGGAGGAGCAGGAUGAUGAUGUAGCUGACCUAUCAUGGAGGAGCAGGAGUGAUGAUGUAGCUGACCUAUCAUGGAGGAGCAGGGGUGAUGAUGUAGCUGACCUAUCAGGGAGGAGCAGGAUGAUGAUGUAGCUGACCUAUCAUGGAGGAGCAGGGGUGAUGAUGUAGCUGAC
This 2020-nucleotide long non-coding RNA is filed under the name Salmo salar (Atlantic salmon). Its description in RNAcentral is "lncRNA (ENSSSAG00000088859.1)". The record is from RNAcentral. Lineage: Eukaryota; Metazoa; Chordata; Actinopteri; Salmoniformes; Salmonidae.